RNAcentral lists this ribosomal RNA (718 nucleotides) under uncultured Lachnospiraceae bacterium. RNAcentral describes it as "bacterial SSU rRNA". It matches the Rfam family "Bacterial small subunit ribosomal RNA", at positions 58 to 776 of the family's 1533-position model. The record is from RNAcentral. Lineage: Bacteria; Bacillati; Bacillota; Clostridia; Lachnospirales; Lachnospiraceae.
CAAGUCGAGCGAAGCAGUUAAGUUGUUUUCUUCGGAUUGAUUCUUAACUGACUGAGCGGCGGACGGGUGAGUAACGCGUGGGUGACCUGCCCCAUACCGGGGGAUAACAGCUGGAAACGGCUGCUAAUACCGCAUAAGCGCACAGAGCUGCAUGGCUCGGUGUGAAAAACUCCGGUGGUAUGGGAUGGGCCCGCGUCUGAUUAGGCAGUUGGCGGGGUAACGGCCCACCAAACCGACGAUCAGUAGCCGGCCUGAGAGGGCGACCGGCCACAUUGGGACUGAGACACGGCCCAAACUCCUACGGGAGGCAGCAGUGGGGAAUAUUGCACAAUGGGGGAAACCCUGAUGCAGCGACGCCGCGUGAGCGAAGAAGUAUUUCGGUAUGUAAAGCUCUAUCAGCAGGGAAGAUAAUGACGGUACCUGACUAAGAAGCCCCGGCUAACUACGUGCCAGCAGCCGCGGUAAUACGUAGGGGGCAAGCGUUAUCCGGAUUUACUGGGUGUAAAGGGAGCGUAGACGGCAAGGCAAGUCGGAUGUGAAAACCCAGGGCUUAACCCUGGGACUGCAUUGGAAACUGUCUGGCUCGAGUGCCGGAGAGGUAAGCGGAAUUCCUAGUGUAGCGGUGAAAUGCGUAGAUAUUAGGAAGAACACCAGUGGCGAAGGCGGCUUACUGGACGGUAACUGACGUUGAGGCUCGAAAGCGUGGGGAGCAAACAGG